Molecule: ribosomal RNA, 858 nt
Filed under: uncultured bacterium
Lineage: Bacteria
Description: bacterial SSU rRNA
Rfam family: Bacterial small subunit ribosomal RNA
Source: RNAcentral
AGUCGCACGAGAAAGGCGGGGCAACCUGCCGAGUACAGUGGCGCAAGGGCGAGGAAUACAUGGGUAACGUACCUCAAGCACAGGGAUAGCUCGCCGAAAGGCGAGGUAAUACCUGAUAAGACCACGGUCCCUCAGGGGACAGCGGUCAAUGGGCGGGGAUCCCUUCGGGGACCUGUCGGCUUCUGCGCGGCCCAUGUCCUAUCAGCUAGUUGGCGAGGUAACGGCUCACCAAGGCUUCGACGGGUACCGGGACUGAGAGGUUAGUCCGGCGCAUUGGCACUGAGACACUGGCCAGACUCCUACGGGAGGCUGCAGUAACGGAUAUUGGGCAAUGGGCGAAAGCCUGACCCAGCGACGCCGCGUGCAGGAUGAAGGUCUUCGGAUUGUAAACUGCUGUCAGGGGCUACCUAGUGACCGUGGCCAACAUCCACGGAAGCUGAGGCGCCCCAGAGGAAGCCACGGCUAACUUCGUGCCAGCAGCCGCGGUAAGACGAACGUGGCAAGCGUUGUUCGGAAUCACUGGGCUUAAAGAGCACGUAGGCGGGCCGUUAAGCGCCUUGUGAAAGCCCCCGGCUCAACCGGGGAAUUGCUUGGCGUACUGGCGGUCUUGAGGCAGGUAGGGGCGUGGAGAACUCUUGGUGGAGCGGUGAAAUGCGUAGAUAUCAAGAGGAAUGCCGGAGGUGAAGACGCCGCGCUGGGCCUGUGCCUGACGCUGAGGUGCGAAAGCCAGGGGAGCAAACGGGAUCAGAUACCCCGGUAGUCCUGGCCGUAAACGAUGUCCACUAGGUCGGUGGUUCUCUGACGAAUUACUGGCCGAAAGAAAACCGAUAAGUGGACCGCCUGGGGAGUACGGUCGCA